RNAcentral lists this ribosomal RNA (497 nucleotides) under uncultured bacterium. RNAcentral describes it as "partial 16S ribosomal RNA". It matches the Rfam family "Bacterial small subunit ribosomal RNA", at positions 28 to 507 of the family's 1533-position model. The record is from RNAcentral.
GAUGAACGCUGGCGGCGUGCCUAAUACAUGCAAGUCGAGCGAACGGACGAGAAGCUUGCUCCUCUGAUGUUAGCGGCGGACGGGUGAGUAACACGUGGAUAACCUACCUAUAAGACUGGGAUAACUUCGGGAAACCGGAGCUAAUACCGGAUAAUAUUUUGAACCGCAUGGUUCCAAAGUGAAAGACGCUAUUGCUGUAACAUAUAGAUGGAUCCGCGCUGCAUUAGCUAGUUGGUAAGGUAACGGCUUACCAAGGCAACGAUGCAUAGCCGACCUGAGAGGGUGAUCGGCCACACUGGAACUGAGACACGGUCCAGACUCCUACGGGAGGCAGCAGUAGGGAAUCUUGCGCAAUGGGCGAAAGCCUGACGGAGCAACGCCGCGUGAGUGAUGAAGGUCUUCGGAUCGUAAAACUCUUUUAUUAGGGAAGAACAUAUGUGUAAGUAACUGUGCACAUCUUGACGGUACCUAAUCAGAAAGCCACGGCUAACUACGUG